GACGAACGCUGGCGGCGUGCUUAACACAUGCAAGUCGAACGGAAAGGCCCUGCUUUUGUGGGGUGCUCGAGUGGCGAACGGGUGAGUAACACGUGAGUAACCUGCCCUUGACUUUGGGAUAACUUCAGGAAACUGGGGCUAAUACCGGAUAGGAGCUCCUGCUGCAUGGUGGGGGUUGGACAGUUUCGGCGGUUGGGGAUGGACUCGCGGCUUAUCAGCUUGUUGGUGGGGUAGUGGCUUACCAAGGCUUUGACGGGUAGCCGGCCUGAGAGGGUGACCGGCCAGAUUGUUACUGAGAACUGGCCGGGAAUCCUACUGGGGCCAGCAGUGGGGGAUAUUGGCCGAUGGGCGGACCCCUGAUGCAGCAACGUCGCGUGCGGGAUGACUGCCUUCUGGGGGUAUACCGCUUUCGCCUGUGACGAAGCGUGAGCUACGGUAAUGGGUAAAUAAGCACCGGCUAACUACGUG
Molecule: ribosomal RNA, 468 nt
Filed under: uncultured bacterium
Lineage: Bacteria
Description: partial 16S ribosomal RNA
Rfam family: Bacterial small subunit ribosomal RNA
Source: RNAcentral